UUAUUAAUUAAAUGAAAAAUGGAGAGUACAAGCUUAAUUGAAAGUGUAAUUUCAUUCAAGAUAUCAUUGGAUGCUAAACAAUUUUUUUCUUAUUUUUACUAUAGCCAUCUUUUUGGUAAUGGGAUGUUUUUUUGAUUUCAACAUCUCAUUCCCUUAUCUCCUUAGCAUUGAAGGCAAGGAUUCAUCAUGGGCCCCUAAUGCUGGCGGACUACCAAAAUGGAUCUAUUUUGAUUUGUACUUGGGCCUUGAAUGUUGCAAAAUGCGUGGAAGAAAUGGCAAAACUGUCAGAAGUGGGAUUUGAACCCACGCCCUCUCUCGAAGACCAGAACUUGAGUCUGGCGCCUUAGACCACUCGGCCAUCCUGACCUGAUGUUGGGUAUGGAGAAGCUUUUAUAUGCAAACGUGACAUUUCUUUCGGUUGAGAGCCUGUCUGGUAUGCACUGAGAUGAAAAA
Long non-coding RNA from Neltuma alba, 453 nucleotides. RefSeq lists it as uncharacterized. NCBI's taxonomy places the organism in Eukaryota, Viridiplantae, Streptophyta, Magnoliopsida, Fabales, Fabaceae. The record is from RefSeq and is a predicted model, not a curated record. The transcript is spliced from 2 exons.